Molecule: ribosomal RNA, 453 nt
Filed under: uncultured Parabacteroides sp.
Lineage: Bacteria; Pseudomonadati; Bacteroidota; Bacteroidia; Bacteroidales; Tannerellaceae
Description: partial 16S ribosomal RNA
Rfam family: Bacterial small subunit ribosomal RNA
Source: RNAcentral
ACGGGAGGCAGCAGUGAGGAAUAUUGGUCAAUGGGCGGAAGCCUGAACCAGCCAAGUCGCGUGAGGGAAGACGGCCCUACGGGUUGUAAACCUCUUCUGCGCGGGGGUAAAGUCGGGGACGUGUCCCCGAUUGCAAGUACCGCGCGAAAAAGGAUCGGCUAACUCCGUGCCAGCAGCCGCGGUAAUACGGAGGAUCCGAGCGUUAUCCGGAUUUAUUGGGUUUAAAGGGUGCGCAGGCGGUCUUUUAAGUCAGUGGUUAAAUCGUGGAGCUCAACUCCAUCCCGCCAUUGAUACUGGAGGACUUGAUUGCGGUCGAGGUUGGCGGAAUUCGCCGUGUAGCGGUGAAAUGCAUAGAUAUGGCGAAGAACUCCGAUUGCGUAGGCAGCUGACCAGGCCGUAAAUGACGCUCAUGCACGAAAGUGCGGGGAUCGAACAGGAUUAGAUACCCUGGUA